This 464-nucleotide ribosomal RNA is filed under the name uncultured bacterium. Its description in RNAcentral is "bacterial SSU rRNA". It matches the Rfam family "Bacterial small subunit ribosomal RNA", at positions 331 to 792 of the family's 1533-position model. The record is from RNAcentral.
CCAGACUCCUACGGGAGGCAGCAGUGAGGAAUAUUGGUCAAUGGGCGGGAGCCUGAACCAGCCAAGUCGCGUGAGGGAAGACGGUCCUAUGGAUUGUAAACCUCUUUAGGCGGGGAGCAAUGCCGGGCACGCGUGUCCGGAGGGAGAGUACCCGCAGAAUAAGCAUCGGCUAACUCCGUGCCAGCAGCCGCGGUAAUACGGAGGAUGCGAGCGUUAUCCGGAUUUAUUGGGUUUAAAGGGUGCGCAGGCGGGCUGUUAAGCCGGCGGUAAAAAUUCAGGGCUCAACCCUGUCGAGCCGUCGGAACUGGCAGUCUUGAGUGGGCGAGAAGUAUGCGGAAUGCGUGGUGUAGCGGUGAAAUGCAUAGAUAUCACGCAGAACGCCGAUUGCGAAGGCAGCAUACCGGCGCCCAACUGACGCUGAGGCACGAAAGCGUGGGGAUCGAACAGGAUUAGAUACCCUAGUA